Molecule: long non-coding RNA, 666 nt
Organism: Ananas comosus (pineapple)
Lineage: Eukaryota; Viridiplantae; Streptophyta; Magnoliopsida; Poales; Bromeliaceae
Exons: 5
Source: RefSeq, a predicted model, not a curated record
AUUAAGUCAUGAAGGAGAUGGAGUGUUUGGUGUAUUGAGCUGUAAGGAGAAAAAGGCUUGGUGGAAUUGAGGGUCCUUGUUGUUCCAAGCUGAGAAGGAUUGGAAUGAACUACGAAUUAGUGGGAAUUGGUUAUUCACUGCUGCAGGAAUUAUAAAAGAGAAAGAAAGCAAAAUGCUGAAAUUCCUGCUGUGAAGGAAUUUCCUACUAGUUGGAGCUGCCGAAUUGGAGGAUUGGGCUAUUUGAAGCACUAAGAAGUGUGCUGUGAAAAGAAUGUGAAGUGCAGAAUUUCAGCAUACAAUUCUUGCUUAUUGGAGCUGAAAUAGAACAUGGUAGAGCUUUAAACUCAGUGGCUGCACAAAGGGAAGUAUUAGCGCUGAAAUUUCAGCAUGGUGCAGAUCUUACUACAAGCUGAAAAUAAGUCAAUUGAGCAUUGAAGUGAGGUUCCAGUGCGAGCGGUGUGGCCGAGGAUCGCGGCAAGAGCCCAACAGUUUAGCUAGCUGACACCAGAGUAUAGUUGUUUACCAUUUUGGGUUUAUGUAUCAUCCAACUUGAUGUACAAGACAUGAAAAUGAAUGUAUUUAAGAGAAUGUAAAUAACUAAAUGUUUCAGUUAUUCAGUUUCAUACAGUUCAGUUCAAAGUUUUAAAUUACAGUGAAUUUCAUGUA